RNAcentral lists this long non-coding RNA (513 nucleotides) under Homo sapiens (human). RNAcentral describes it as "non-protein coding CNNM3-DT:17". Lineage: Eukaryota; Metazoa; Chordata; Mammalia; Primates; Hominidae. The record is from RNAcentral.
GUCGGACUAGGCUGCGCCGGGGAGUAAACAAGUGGCGGCCAGGGGCGGGCCGGGGGCGUGGGGCUCCGGGCCCCGCCGAGCCAAUUCUCUGGGAAGUUCCCGGCUUGGGAGCGGAGCGGCCGGUCGGAAGAACCUCGGGUGCUGGCGCGCCUGAAGUUGCAGACCAGACUGAAAUGUGCGAGACAUGUGCCUUUUUCUUAGGAAAGGCCCCAGGUACCAGAAAGGUUUUCAGCGCGCCGACCUACGGGGCUAAGAGGGCUGAAAUAAGAACCAGUGACUGAGCGCCGGGAGGUUUAAGGUUUAUGGAAGAUGUUCAUCGCGCCGUACCCUACUAGAGGUUUGGGGACGUGGGACACAGCCCCUGCGUUCCCGCCGCGGACCCCGUGAUAAAUACACAGACACACAAAAUCACUACCGCCUUGAAUCUGGACAGCUACCUCAGGUGGUUAAUAUCUAACAGGAGCAGAGUGGAGCUCAGAAAGACUCAGCGUGGGUGCUGGGUUCCGGCGCGAC